RNA transcript from Juglans regia (Persian walnut), 1732 nucleotides. It is a transcript of the gene named 5'-3' exonuclease, with no coding region annotated. NCBI's taxonomy places the organism in Eukaryota, Viridiplantae, Streptophyta, Magnoliopsida, Fagales, Juglandaceae. The transcript has 7 exons. The record is from RefSeq and is a predicted model, not a curated record.
GGGCCUGCAGGCUGCGGCAACUCGGGCAGGGCUAGGCCGAGUUCCUCCCAUCCUAGGCCUGUGUCCACCCCUACGAGGUUCCAGCUCCCAAUUGAGGAGGUGCUGCAUAAACUAUAAAGACAUCAGGUGGGCGUGCCGUUCGAAGAUGGUGCAGAUUGCGAUGUUUACCCAUGUUCACAUCCAUCCUCCUCUCCCUCCCAGCCCACCACCACCAGUUUAUUUCUCGUAUAGGACUCUCAAAUUCAAAACAGCAGCAGCAACCAUUGCGAAAACGAGGAAAACGGAAGCAGCGACGCAUUCUGCUAUCACUCAUACUGCUUCCGUUUCUGGGUCGUUUAAUCAAGCAGCUGAUGGGCAAUUAGUACCCGAAAGCGAAGCGAAGAAGAGAGGCAAGAAGAGGGUGUUCUUCUUGGACGUUAAUCCUCUCUGCUAUGCGGGAAGCACGCCUAGCUUACGUUCUUUUGGUCGUUGGGUCUCUCUUUUCUUCUCUCAAGUCAGCCUUAGCGACCCUGUCAUUGCCGUUCUUGAUGGGGAAGGGGGCAGCGAGCAUCGCAGACAGCUAUUGCCUUCAUAUAAAGCACACAGGAAGAAAUUCGUAAGACAAUUUCCAGCUUCACAAAGAUUUUCAAGGGGCCAUGUUGGAAGGUCGCAUGGAAUCAUCGCUGAUGUACUUGGAAAAUGCAAUGUUCCAGUCAUAAAAAUUAAAGGCCAUGAAGCAGAUGAUGUUGUAGCUACACUUGCUGGACAAGUUCUACAAAAAGGCUAUCGGGUGGUAAUUGCUUCUCCUGAUAAAGACUUUAAGCAAUUGAUUUCAGAAGAUGUUCAAAUUGUUAUGCCUUUAGACGAGUUAGACCGAUGGUCCUUUUACACCAUAAAGCACUACAUUGCUCAGUAUGAUUGUGAGCCACGCUGUGAUUUGAGCCUUAGAUGCAUUGUGGGUGAUGAGGUUGAUGGAGUUCCUGGGAUCCAACAUAUGGCUCCUGGAUUUGGUCGAAAGACUGCCCUAAAGCUUUUAAAAAAGCAUGGUUCAUUGGAAAAUUUAUUAAAUGCUGCUGCAGUGAGAACUGUGGGUAAACAAUAUGCACAAGAAGCCCUUACAAAGUAUGCUGAUUACCUGCGAAGGAAUUACGAGGUUCUUGCCCUUAAGAGGGACAUUGAUAUUCAACUUAAGGAGGAGUGGUUAGUUGAGAGAGAAACACACAAUGAUUUGACCAUUCUAUCUAAUUUCUUCAAAUUGUUUGGAAGAAACUCGGAAGCUCACUCAUCAAACUGGAUCUAAUUUUUCAGAUGGUUAAGAUCCAACUGUCUGAUGUAUCCAGAUGAAAAAUUAUCGAUAACCAAGAGCUUGAGGGACCUGUAACUGGCAAUUUAAAGUUCACUGCCAUGUUCUAGCAGGGAGUAGUUCAAACUGAAGGUGGGAAACGUGUUAAUGAAAUUUGAUGAGAUUCCGCUGUGAGGAUUCUUAAUAUACAAAGGGGAAGGAAGAAGCUGCUGGGCAUGGUGGUUUGCAAGUGUGGUCACUCUUACUUUUGGAAGAAAGAAAAGAACUUAGAUAGGCUGAGUGACUCCUCCAAUUUCUGACAAUUCUAGACUGUUGGAAAUCAAGAACUGUGAAUUUCAUGAAUAUGUUAAUGCAGUAAUACCUGCAGAUGCAGUAUUCAAUGUAUAUAUUAAACUUGGAACUUUUUCCAAAUAUGUAUGGGUGGACAAUAGCUCCAUAUGUUGCUUCCUC